Molecule: long non-coding RNA, 1066 nt
Filed under: Chlamydomonas reinhardtii
Lineage: Eukaryota; Viridiplantae; Chlorophyta; Chlorophyceae; Chlamydomonadales; Chlamydomonadaceae
Description: long non-coding RNA (CREI_LNC001359)
Source: RNAcentral
GCGGCCGGGCUUGCGGCCACCCUUCUUUCCGCCUUUGGCCGCGCCGCUGUCGGCGGCCGCCUUGCAGGCGCCCUUGCGGAAGGUCACGCCGGUGCAGGAGGCGAGGCACUCAUUGUGGUACUCCACGCCGUCGUUGCCGCACACGAGGUCGGCCUUGGCAACCUCGGGAUCAUCGGAAGGCGCGGGGCAGGUGACGGCGGCGCAGCCGCUGGCGUCGGCGCAGCGCCCCUCGUAGGCGACGGAAGCACCGCCACACGUAGCCAUGCACUCAUUUGAGUAAGUGGUGAGUUUGCCGUCCUUCUUGCCGCACACGGGCGCGAGCAUCUUGUUGCACGCGCACACGCCAGUCGGCAACUGCUGCUCAGUCUCCUCGCCGGACUCGCCGUCUCCGCUGCCGCUGCCACCGCCGCUGCUGCUGCCGCAGGCGCCCUUGCGGAAACUCACGCCGGUGCAGGAGGCAAGGCACUCAUUGGGGUACUCCACGCCGUCGUUGCCGCACACGAGGUCGGCCUUGGCAACCUCGGGAUCAUCGGAAGGCGCGGGGCAGGUGACGGCGGCGCAGCCGCUGGCGUCGGCGCAGCGGCCCUCGUAGGCGACAGAGGCGCCGUCACACGUAGCCAUGCACUCAUUGGAGUAAGUGGUGAGUCUGCCGUCCUUCUUGCCGCACACGGGCGCGAGCAUCUUGUUGCACGCGCACACGCCAGUCGGCAACUGCUGCUCAGUCUCCUCGCCGGACUCGCCGUCUCCGCUGCCGCUGCCACCGCCGCUGCUGCUGCCGCCGCAGGCGCCCUUGCGGAAAGUCACACCAGUGCAGGAGGCGAGGCACUCAUUGGGGUACUCCACGUCGUCGUUGCCGCACACGAGGUCGGCCUUAGGAUCAUCGGAAGGCGCCGGGCAGGUGACGGCGGCGCAGCCGCUGGCGUCGGCGCAGGCGCCCUGGUACUUGACCCGGGCGCCGUCACACCUGGCCGUACAGGCGUUGGAGUAAGUUGACAGCUUGCCGUUCUUCUUGGCACACACGGGCGCGUAGAUGAACGGGCAUACGCAGUCGGCCGGCUGCUCGCCG